This 441-nucleotide ribosomal RNA is filed under the name uncultured bacterium. Its description in RNAcentral is "partial 16S ribosomal RNA". It matches the Rfam family "Bacterial small subunit ribosomal RNA", at positions 338 to 795 of the family's 1533-position model. The record is from RNAcentral.
CCUACGGGUGGCAGCAGUGGGGGAUAUUGCACAAUGGGGGGAACCCUGAUGCAGCGACGCCGCGUGGGUGAAGGAGUGCUUCGGCAUGUAAAGCCCUAUCGGCAGGGAAGAAGCAAGACGGUACCUGACUAAGAAGCCCCGGCUAACUACGUGCCAGCAGCCGCGGUAAUACGUAGGGGGCGAGCGUUAUCCGGAUUCACUGGGUGUAAAGGGAGCGUAGACGGCCAUGCAAGCCAGGGGUGAAAUCCUGCGGCUUAACCGCAGAACUGCAUUUGAAACUGUUGAUCUUGAGUACUGGAGAGGCAGAUGGAAUUCCUAGUGUAGCGGUGAAAUGCGUAGAUAUUAGGAGGAACACCAGUGGCGAAGGCGGUCUGCUGGACAGCAACUGACGGUGAGGCGCGAAAGCGUGGGGAGCAAACAGGAUUAGAUACCCGGGUAGUC